Molecule: long non-coding RNA, 955 nt
Filed under: Arabidopsis thaliana (thale cress)
Lineage: Eukaryota; Viridiplantae; Streptophyta; Magnoliopsida; Brassicales; Brassicaceae
Description: ncRNA (AT1G20515)
Source: RNAcentral
UUGUAGGACGAUAAUAUUUCUGUAUUUGCUUAUAAUUCUAAUUUUUACAGGUAUAUAUCUGUUUGAUGUCUUCCAGAAGUGGUAUCCGUAUCAAACCGGAGAUGUUUUAGCUGUAAGAAUAUUAAGAAGUGAAACUCUGGUCUGAAUCAGUCGCCGGAAAAUACACUCCAACUCGAUCUCAAGCUCCUCAACAGUGAUCUCUGCAGCCUCCAACCUUGUACUUGCGCUCCGCAUCGCUACUUCGUCCCACGCAUCAUCAAAGCAGCAAAACUGCAUCGUAAAGAUAGAAGAAAAUGACCCUAUGCUCGGUUUUCUCUCGAGCCAAGGAACACAUACGAGUGAGAACAGAGACUCAACCAUAGUCACAACGGCUCUUCUCACUUCUUUCAAAACCUCAGCAACAAACAGAAGCGCAGAGUCAGUUGAAGAUCUUGCAGGCCAUGUCUCACGAGUGCCAUGACAUCUUUCGACACAUUACAGACAUCUAACAUUAUUAGUGAAGCUUCAGAGACUUGCUCGAUCCAGUUCUCUUUCCCUUGUUGGCACAGAGACUCUCUUGCUUCUGGACAGUGAUCGAGAAGAUAGUUUGCGCAGUCUUGUAGUUCUCUCAAACCUUCCAAGUCCAGUAGCGCCAUUCGGUUGAAACCUCAAAAGGGUAUUGCUUGAUGAGAACUUGAUGAGAGAUUUGUGAUUAGGGUUUAGUGAAAUCUUAGGGUUACGUCCAUAAAUAGGGAUUGUUUGAAUUGGAGUUGAAGAUGGAUCUGAGAAGAAUGAGGAAAGUACGAAGAAGGAACCCUGAGGUUAGUUUUUUCCUUUUCUUUGCGAGGUGUUUUUUUUUUGUACAUAAGUGAAGACAUUAGUGUUGGAGACAGGUCAUUUAGUUUUCAAAUUCAAACUAGUUGAAGUUAGUGGUAUUUAGGAACCUUCCGUUUAUGUAAGUGGCACUAGAUUAGGC